AACGCAAAAAUUAUGUGACAAUUCAUUGUACUGGUUAUUUAAAGAGUUGGCCGUCAUCCAAGAUACCAUUACAUGAUGAUCCUGAAGACACGUUUGGUGAAGACUGUAUACUCAGCUGUUUGGUUGCUAUAGCCAGAGUACAGCCAUCUCAAAUUCCCCAAUCAACUGGAUCUAACAGUGCAGAGAUCGUACCAACAGAGUUUGUAUCACGACAUGCUAUGGAUGGACGAUUCACUUUUGUCGACCAAAGAGCGACUGCUAUACUAGGUUUUCUACCUCAAGAACUAUUGGGUACAUCAUGUUAUGAAUAUUAUCAUGCAGAUGACAUCCCUCCACUAGCUGAGAGUCACAAAGCUGUUUUGGCUGGUAAAGAUAAGAUUAUGACGACUGUGUAUAGAUUCCGAGCCAAAAAUGGCAAAUUUGUAAAAAUGAGAACCAAAUCAUUCUGUUUUCGAAAUCCUUGGACCAAAGAAGUAGAAUAUAUUGUUUGUACGAAUACAUUGAUUUCGUGUCCAGAGACUGCUGACUUGUCAAGUUUUAACGUAGAUGAGGAUGUUGGCAAAAUCAACAUUAAAGAACCAAUCUCAGUACCAGGAAUUCCAUGUUCAACUAGAAUAGGGGCUGGGAAAAUUGGAAGGAUGAUUGCUGAUGAGAUUGAUAAUGUAGAUCUGGAGAUUAGGUCUCCCAUUGAAGCUGAGGGUAGCAGUAGUAGGUGUCAAGGUACCUUGUCUUCAACAGUCUCUCUAUCCUGCAGUGACAGUCAUCUUCGGAGUACUGAAUACGACGGUGGAACAACAACAAACACCACAAGUAAAAAUGCUGACUUAUCCUCGCUUAGUAGGCAGACCCCAAACACGAAUUUGGCAUCAAGCUCAGUGCAAGGCAAAGCCAGCAACCAAAGUGGUAAAUCCACGGAGAGUACAAGUCAACUGGCCCAGAUGCUGGCAUCAACCAGAAGUACAGUUCAAAUGACUGAUCUACUUGACAGAUUCCUAGACAAGCCUAGCAUAGUUACACAGGCAACUACUUCAAACUCACCAGUUACCAUUAGUUGCAGUGAUAAUGAUGACUCGGCCAUGUCUGUCAUAAUGAAUCUCUUAGAAACAGACGCUGGACUCAGUGGCCCUAUGGAUGUUAAUGAUUUGUCUUGGUCAUUGUAAGGGACAUUUGUAUUGGCUCUGCCGUAUCUCAAUAUUAUUUAUAGCUUUAUCACCGGAUUGGUGUGUUGUGUGUUUUUUUCGGCACUUUGUCAUAACAAGACCAGUUUUAUUUUUUUCUAUCUUUCUAAAGUGGGUAUGUUUCAUAACAAUUUUUGAAGCUCAUUGUAUACAGUGAUAUUUAUGAAUGCUACUCAAUUCUCAGUACGUUGUAUAUGAAUGUGUGCAAUGUUUUGUGCAUUGCAUCAAUGUUCAGUGUAUUUUCCAGGUACAAACUUGUUAGAGGUUGUCUCAUAUAUGCUUGAAAUAGUAUUGUAAGUCAAAAUGUUAAUCUUAUUAAAAUUUAGAUUUUCACUUGGUUUUAGCUACCAAGAAUAUGAAACCAAAAUCAACUUGUCCUAGUAACGAGUUUUGAAAAAACGAAAAAAAUAAAUUGGCAUUAUUUGAUCGCCUAUUAACCCUGACAGUUGAUAUGAUUCAAAUACUGGUAGUUUUGGAUUCUCAGUCAAGCAGGGGCUUAAUAAACUUUGUAAUCAUAACUUUACUGGUACUUUUUGGUUUAAUAUAUUUUGAUGUUUUCCAGUAUGGCAUGCUAAAACAAACAACAUAAGUUCUAAAUAGGGAUAACAAAAAAUCAUUUUAUGCCAUUUUCUUCAGUAAAAAUAUGCAAUACACGGGAUGGCAGUCACAACUGUGUCUGUAUGAUGGCUUGACUGGUAGUUCAUUGCAUUUUUAUUUGGCCUUCUAUGUAAAUCAGUGAUUACUGUUAGUACUGUAAAGCACCAAAAGUCACUACUGAAUCAAGUUGAGUUUAUCUUAACAACAUUUUUUUCUUCGCAGAUGCCUUAAAGUGACAUGUUAACUGUGUAUUCUAAUGUAUAAGAAAAAAUGAUUUCUGUAUGCAAUACAUAUGUAACAUGAAAUCCCUAUGUGCUUUAACUAUAGUUACAUGUAUCUGCACCAUACAGUACUGUCAACUAUACUGGUACCAUAUUAGCUCUCUAAUAAAAGUGAAAACCUGACCUCAGAUACACAUCUAGUGGGUUCAUAGUGAUCUACAAUUGAUACUAAUUUUGGAAAUAGAAAACAAUGACUUGAUGAUGCUGAUUAUACCUAUACCAGUGGUCUAUAAUGACUGUAUAAAAGAUAUACAUGAAUUCAGACGAUGGUUACAAAAUAAACAUGCUGGAUUACAAGUUCUGUACAGUGUAUGUCUACAGAAAUGUAACAAAAGUAGUCAGCAACACUCACAAAUGAUAAUAUAAUGUAAAAUAAUGUAAUCAGCAAUCAUUGAGUCUGACUUGCUAUUAAUUGUCAUGGUUUGCAUAUCUGGAAUGCAUGUUUCAGUCAAAAUUCACUAACAGCUGUGUAUCUUUCAGUCUAUUGUAUCAAGCACAUUAUAUUUGAGUUUGAUGAAGUACAUCCGCAUUUAAUAUGAAAACUAAUUGGUGUAUCAUGUUUGUUUUAUAUAGACAUACCUUUUAAAUAUUAGAAAUUAUUUUGAAAAGUAAUGAUAAUUGAAGCUCUCUGUGCAUGAAACCUCUGUAAGUUCAAUGUGUGUGUUGAAUAAUGUCAUUGACCCCCCCCCCCACCCAAUUGUAUUUGUAGAAAAAAAUGGUAUAAUUUGUAAUUGUCAUCCUGACCCAUUUAAUAAAAAAGCAAUAAGUUUCCUUCAUUCGGCAAUAACACUGUAAUUUUUGCAAUAUAAGUUGACACAAUGCCUAGAGAUUAAUAAAACAUGUACUUUAUUAAUCUUAAGGUUUCUUAAAGAAUAUUUAAUAUGAAUUGCAAAUACAUGUAGUGCAGCAAAAUUAUGGUGGGAAACAUACAAACCAGAAUUUUGCCAGGAAAAAUGAUUCAUACGAGAUAAUAAAAUAGAGUAAGUUACUGACAUCUGGUUUUUAUGAUCAGUGCAAAUGUCUUCAUUCUGUUCAAUUAUUACUAAAUAUUAUCUAUUAUAUAUCGUAAUGUUCAGCAGUAACAGAAAUGUGUGAUAUUCUAAAGUUUAAUUUUGCAUUCAAAACCACAAGGUACAAACUAGCUUCGUUUUAUACUAGUGCCAUAUAUUAAAACAACUUGUGGAAAUUAGAAGGCUGCAUGCCAUAGUCAUGUGUUAUCAAUAACAGUAUAUGAAGUAAUAUUUAUGUGGCACUUAUUGUGAAAAACAGUGCAACGGAAUGGGUCUAAAAUUUCCAUAUUUUUGAAAUAUAUGUAUUUGGCAUUAUUAAAUAUUGUUCCCUUGAAUGAUACCAAUUCUGGUAGCUCUAGGCAAAGUCAGAAACUUUAAUGGCUGCUAUUGUAAUUCAGCUCAUUAGUUCUAUGCAUUGAGGUGACCACAAGUAGUGAAAUCACAAACUAUUGUUUACUAUUGUACUUAAAUUCUGGUAUUGCAAGUACUCCCUCCCAUUAUUACCAUGUUUAUGUCAAUUGCAUAUCCAGCUUAAUUAUGCAAAUUGAGAAAGAUGUAAAUUAUUUAUAUUUCAUGUUGUGUACAAUUUUAUACUAAGAUUUGAUAUUGUCUUAAAAUAUUUAAAUGUCCAGCAAAUUAAAUUGGCCUUUAUCAUAUCUCUUGUGAAAUGAAACGUAUUUCUAACUUAUAAUAAUAUAAUUUUAAAUAUAUAGUAUCUAUUAAAUUCAGAUAAAGAUUAUAGAUAAGCUUUAUUGAUAUUUUAAAACAAAUUGUUAACCAUGUAAGUUAUAUUUGUUUACUACAACCGCAAACUCGUUGAAAGAUUCUCUCAGUGUGCAAAUUUAAAAUUGUAAGUUUGAUUGCAUAUGUGUGUGUUUUUGAGCCAAUGUAUCAUUUUGUUUUGUUGAGUUUAAUGUGACAUUUAGACAUAUGCUAAGAUCCUGGAGUCUUCAAUGAUUGGUUCUCUGCUGAGUACAAUGUAUUUAAGUAUCAAAUAUUUUCAUUAUUUGAUUUUAUUAUUUGGUGAAGUUCAGUAUUAUACCGGUAAUUAUUUUAGCAAAUAAUCUAUUUGGUUGAAUUCUGUUUACAUUGAUUUUUUCUGUAUGGGAACAGCUAAAUAAAGUGGCAUGCAAACAAUACUGCAAGUGA
Molecule: small RNA, 4215 nt
Filed under: Saccoglossus kowalevskii
Lineage: Eukaryota; Metazoa; Hemichordata; Enteropneusta; Harrimaniidae
Description: aryl hydrocarbon receptor nuclear translocator-like
Source: RNAcentral